RNAcentral lists this ribosomal RNA (247 nucleotides) under uncultured bacterium. RNAcentral's name for it is "partial 16S ribosomal RNA". It matches the Rfam family "Bacterial small subunit ribosomal RNA", at positions 88 to 334 of the family's 1533-position model. The record is from RNAcentral.
CUGGCGACCGGCGCACGGGUGAGUAUCGCGUUUGUAACCUACCCUUAACUGGGGGAUAGCCCGAAGAAAUUCGGAUUAAUACCCCAUUAAAUUUUAGCACGGCAUCGUGCUUCCAUUAAAGCUCCGGCGGUUAAGGAUGGGCAUACGUGACAUUAGUUUGUUGGUGAGGUAACGGCUCACCAAGACUACGAUGUCUAGGGGGUCUGAGAGGACGAUCCCCCCACACUGGUACUGAGACACGGACCAG